Molecule: ribosomal RNA, 301 nt
Filed under: uncultured bacterium
Lineage: Bacteria
Description: partial 16S ribosomal RNA
Rfam family: Bacterial small subunit ribosomal RNA
Source: RNAcentral
CAGUCGCCACGGGAAUACGAAGGGUGCAAGCGUUAAUCGGAAUUACUGGGCGUAAAGCGUGCGUAGGCGGUGAGUUAAGUCUGCUGUGAAAUCCCCGGGCUCAACCUGGGAAUGGCAGUGGAUACUGGCUCGCUAGAGUGUGGUAGAGGAUAGUGGAAUUUCCGGUGUAGCAGUGAAAUGCGUAGAGAUCGGAAGGAACAUCUGUGGCGAAGGCGACUAUCUGGGCCAACACUGACACUGAGGCACGAAAGCGUGGGGAGCAAACAGGAUUAGAUACCCCAGUAGUCCCUGUCUCUUAUAA